UACAUAGGUCCCAAGCGUUAUCCGGAAUUACUGGGCGUAAAGCGUCUGCAGGUGGAAAAGUGUGUGAGAUGUGAAAGACCGGGGCUCAACCCCGUGUUUGUGUCUCAAACUGCUUUUCUAGAGUGAGUAAGAGGUAUGCGGAAUUUAUGGAGUAGGAGUGCAAUCCGUUGACACCAUAAAGAACACCAAAAGCGAAGGCAGCAUACUGGGGCUCUACUGACACUCAGAGACGAAAGCGUGGGGAGCGAAA
This 250-nucleotide ribosomal RNA is filed under the name uncultured bacterium. Its description in RNAcentral is "partial 16S ribosomal RNA". It matches the Rfam family "Bacterial small subunit ribosomal RNA", at positions 524 to 773 of the family's 1533-position model. The record is from RNAcentral.